CCCUUAGAUGUUCUGGGCCGCACGCGCGCUACACUGAUGCAUUCAACGAGUCUAAAACCUGCUCUGAUAGGGGUGGGUAAUCUUUUGAAUGUGCAUCGUGAUUGGGAUAGAUGAUUGCAAUUUUUCAUCUUCAACGAGGAAUGCCUAGUAAACGCAAGUCAUCAGCUUGCAUUGAUUACGUCCCUGCCCUUUGUACACACCGCCCGUCGCUCCUACCGAUUGAGUGCUCAGGUGAAUAAUUCGGACUGCAGCAAUGUUUGGAUCCCGAACGUUGCAGCGGAAAGUUUAGUGAACCUUAUCACUUAGAGGAAGGAGAAGUCGUAACA
Molecule: ribosomal RNA, 326 nt
Filed under: uncultured eukaryote
Lineage: Eukaryota
Description: partial 18S ribosomal RNA
Rfam family: Eukaryotic small subunit ribosomal RNA
Source: RNAcentral